RNAcentral lists this ribosomal RNA (253 nucleotides) under uncultured bacterium. RNAcentral's name for it is "partial 16S ribosomal RNA". It matches the Rfam family "Bacterial small subunit ribosomal RNA", at positions 524 to 776 of the family's 1533-position model. The record is from RNAcentral.
UACGGGGGGGGCAAGCGUUGUUCGGAAUUACUGGGCGUAAAGGGCUCGUAGGUGGCCAACUAAGUCAGACGUGAAAUCCCUCGGCUUAACCGGGGAACUGCGUCUGAUACUGGACGGCUUGAGUUUGGGAGAGGGACGCGGAAUUCCAGGUGUAGCGGUGAAAUGCGUAGAUAUCUGGAGGAACACCGGUGGCGAAGGCAGCCCCCUGGGUCAAGAUUGACGCUCAUGCACGAAAGCGUGGGGAGCAAACAGG